This 609-nucleotide ribosomal RNA is filed under the name Micrococcaceae bacterium Se2Ps_2357. Its description in RNAcentral is "bacterial SSU rRNA". It matches the Rfam family "Bacterial small subunit ribosomal RNA", at positions 382 to 1001 of the family's 1533-position model. Lineage: Bacteria; Bacillati; Actinomycetota; Actinomycetes; Micrococcales; Micrococcaceae. The record is from RNAcentral.
CCUGAUGCAGCGACGCCGCGUGAGGGAUGACGGCCUUCGGGUUGUAAACCUCUUUCAGUAGGGAAGAAGCGUAAGUGACGGUACCUGCAUAAGAAGCGCCGGCUAACUACGUGCCAGCAGCCUCGGUAAUACGUACGGCGCAAGCGUUAUCCGGAAUUAUUGGGCGUAAAGAGCUCGUAUGCGGUUUGUCGCGUCUGCCGUGAAAGUCCGGGGCUCAACUCCCGAUCUGCGGUGGGUACGGGCAGACUAGAGUGAUGUAGGGGAGACUGGAAUUCCUGGUGUAGCGGUGAAAUGCGCAGAUAUCAAGAGGAACACCGAUGGCGAAGGCAGGUCUCUGGGCAUUAACUGACGCUGAGGAGCGAAAGCCUGGGGAGCGAACAGGAUUAUAUACCCUGGUAGUCCAUGCCCUGGACGUUGGGCACUAAGUGUGGGGGACAUUCCUCGUUUUCCGCGCCGUAGCUGACGCAUUAAGUGCCCCGCCAGGGGAGUACGGCCGCAAGGCUAAAACUCAGAGGAAUUGACGGGGGCACGCACAACCGGCGGAGCAUGCGAAUUAGUUCGAUGCUUCGCUGAUAACCUUACCAAGGCUUGACGUGAACCGUAUACACC